Molecule: unclassified non-coding RNA, 397 nt
Filed under: Zea mays
Lineage: Eukaryota; Viridiplantae; Streptophyta; Magnoliopsida; Poales; Poaceae
Description: misc RNA Zm00001eb195300
Source: RNAcentral
CCUCCCAUCGCUGCAUGGAAGCACCGCCCCACCUCUCCCAGGCGCGCGACCAUGACCCUCAACGUCGUCGUCUUCCUCUUCCAACCAUCGGCAAUAGCUUCUGCGCCGCCAUCCUUGGGAGACUCAUCUUACCCUCCUAGGGACGACACCCAUGUUCUCCUACCUUCAGCCGCCACCGUCCUCCACCUGGCCACAACCCUCCCUACCACCUUGCUAAGGCCGCCACCUCCAUGGCCACCAGCAGAUCUCUGUCGGGCUUCCACUCUAGGUGUGGUCCCGGCCACCCCCGCCACCCCUGCUCUUCACUGCGCCAUGGCUUCGUGCCCCAGCUGCUUCAGCGUGGAGGACGCCCGGACCUCUCCCUGUGUGGCCAUCGCGUCGGGCGCGGCGGCGGACG